This 345-nucleotide unclassified non-coding RNA is filed under the name soil metagenome. RNAcentral's name for it is "partial contains 5.8S ribosomal RNA, internal transcribed spacer 2, and large subunit ribosomal RNA". The stretch from base 1 to 119 matches the Rfam family "5.8S ribosomal RNA", at positions 35 to 154 of the family's 154-position model. The record is from RNAcentral.
GAUGAAGAACGUAGCGAAAUGCGAUACGUAAUGUGAAUUGCAAAUUCAGUGAAUCAUCGAGUCUUUGAACGCACAUUGCGCCCCCUGGUAUUCCGGGGGGCAUGCCUGUCCGAGCGUCAUUGCUGCCCUCAAGCACGGCUUGUGUGUUGGGCCCCGUCCUCCGAUCCCGGGGGACGGGCCCGAAAGGCAGCGGCGGCACCGCGUCCGGUCCUCGAGCGUAUGGGGCUUUGUCACCCGCUCUGUAGGCCCGGCCGGCGCUUGCCGAUCAACCCAAAUUUUUAUCCGGGUUGACCUCGGAUCAGGUAGGGAUACCCGCUGAACUUAAGCAUAUCAAUAAGCGGAGGA